GGUUAAGCGACUAAGCGUACACGGUGGAUGCCCUGGCAGUCAGAGGCGAUGAAGGACGUGCUAAUCUGCGAUAAGCGCCGGUAAGGUGAUAUGAACCGUUAUAACCGGCGAUUUCCGAAUGGGGAAACCCAGUGUGAUUCGUCACACUAUCAUUAACUGAAUCCAUAGGUUAAUGAGGCGAACCGGGGGAACUGAAACAUCUAAGUACCCCGAGGAAAAGAAAUCAACCGAGAUUCCCCCAGUAGCGGCGAGCGAACGGGGAGGAGCCCAGAGCCUGAAUCAGCAUGUGUGUUAGUGGAAGCGUCUGGAAAGGCGCGCGAUACAGGGUGACAGCCCCGUACACAAAAGCGCAUGUGCUGUGAGCUCGAUGAGUAGGGCGGGACACGUGGUAUCCUGUCUGAAUAUGGGGGGACCAUCCUCCAAGGCUAAAUACUCCUGACUGACCGAUAGUGAACCAGUACCGUGAGGGAAAGGCGAAAAGAACCCCGGCGAGGGGAGUGAAAAAGAACCUGAAACCGUGUACGUACAAGCAGUGGGAGCACCCUUUGGGGUGUGACUGCGUACCUUUUGUAUAAUGGGUCAGCGACUUAUAUUCUGUAGCAAGGUUAACCGUAUAGGGGAGCCGCAGGGAAACCGAGUCUUAACCGGGCGUUAAGUUGCAGGGUAUAGACCCGAAACCCGGUGAUCUAGCCAUGGGCAGGUUGAAGGUUGGGUAACACUAACUGGAGGACCGAACCGACUAAUGUUGAAAAAUUAGCGGAUGACCUGUGGCUGGGGGUGAAAGGCCAAUCAAACCGGGAGAUAGCUGGUUCUCCCCGAAAGCUAUUUAGGUAGCGCCUCGUGAAUUCAUCUCCGGGGGUAGAGCACUGUUUCGGCUAGGGGGCCAUCCCGGCUUACCAACCCGAUGCAAACUGCGAAUACCGGAGAAUGUUAUCACGGGAGACACACGGCGGGUGCUAACGUCCGUCGUGAAGAGGGAAACAACCCAGACCGCCAGCUAAGGUCCCAAAGUCAUGGUUAAGUGGGAAACGAUGUGGGAAGGCCCAGACAGCCAGGAUGUUGGCUUAGAAGCAGCCAUCAUUUAAAGAAAGCGUAAUAGCUCACUGGUCGAGUCGGCCUGCGCGGAAGAUGUAACGGGGCUAAACCAUGCACCGAAGCUGCGGCAGCGACACUGUGUGUUGUUGGGUAGGGGAGCGUUCUGUAAGCCUGUGAAGGUGGCCUGUGAGGGUUGCUGGAGGUAUCAGAAGUGCGAAUGCUGACAUAAGUAACGAUAAAGCGGGUGAAAAGCCCGCUCGCCGGAAGACCAAGGGUUCCUGUCCAACGUUAAUCGGGGCAGGGUGAGUCGACCCCUAAGGCGAGGCCGAAAGGCGUAGUCGAUGGGAAACGGGUUAAUAUUCCCGUACUUGGUGUUACUGCGAAGGGGGGACGGAGAAGGCUAUGUUGGCCGGGCGACGGUUGUCCCGGUUUAAGCGUGUAGGUGUGUGUUCCAGGUAAAUCCGGUUCACUUUAACACUGAGGCGUGAUGACGAGGCACUACGGUGCUGAAGCAACAAAUGCCCUGCUUCCAGGAAAAGCCUCUAAGCAUCAGGUAACAUCAAAUCGUACCCCAAACCGACACAGGUGGUCAGGUAGAGAAUACCAAGGCGCUUGAGAGAACUCGGGUGAAGGAACUAGGCAAAAUGGUGCCGUAACUUCGGGAGAAGGCACGCUGACACGUAGGUGAAGUGAUUUACUCAUGGAGCUGAAGUCAGUCGAAGAUACCAGCUGGCUGCAACUGUUUAUUAAAAACACAGCACUGUGCAAACACGAAAGUGGACGUAUACGGUGUGACGCCUGCCCGGUGCCGGAAGGUUAAUUGAUGGGGUCAGCGCAAGCGAAGCUCCUGAUCGAAGCCCCGGUAAACGGCGGCCGUAACUAUAACGGUCCUAAGGUAGCGAAAUUCCUUGUCGGGUAAGUUCCGACCUGCACGAAUGGCGUAAUGAUGGCCAGGCUGUCUCCACCCGAGACUCAGUGAAAUUGAACUCGCUGUGAAGAUGCAGUGUACCCGCGGCAAGACGGAAAGACCCCGUGAACCUUUACUAUAGCUUGACACUGAACAUUGAGCCUUGAUGUGUAGGAUAGGUGGGAGGCUUUGAAGUGUGGACGCCAGUCUGCAUGGAGCCGACCUUGAAAUACCACCCUUUAAUGUUUGAUGUUCUAACGUGGACCCGUAAUCCGGGUUGCGGACAGUGUCUGGUGGGUAGUUUGACUGGGGCGGUCUCCUCCUAAAGAGUAACGGAGGAGCACGAAGGUUGGCUAAUCCUGGUCGGACAUCAGGAGGUUAGUGCAAUGGCAUAAGCCAGCUUGACUGCGAGCGUGACGGCGCGAGCAGGUGCGAAAGCAGGUCAUAGUGAUCCGGUGGUUCUGAAUGGAAGGGCCAUCGCUCAACGGAUAAAAGGUACUCCGGGGAUAACAGGCUGAUACCGCCCAAGAGUUCAUAUCGACGGCGGUGUUUGGCACCUCGAUGUCGGCUCAUCACAUCCUGGGGCUGAAGUAGGUCCCAAGGGUAUGGCUGUUCGCCAUUUAAAGUGGUACGCGAGCUGGGUUUAGAACGUCGUGAGACAGUUCGGUCCCUAUCUGCCGUGGGCGCUGGAGAACUGAGGGGGGCUGCUCCUAGUACGAGAGGACCGGAGUGGACGCAUCACUGGUGUUCGGGUUGUCAUGCCAAUGGCACUGCCCGGUAGCUAAAUGCGGAAGAGAUAAGUGCUGAAAGCAUCUAAGCACGAAACUUGCCCCGAGAUGAGUUCUCCCUGAGACUUAGAGUCUCCUGAAGGAACGUUGAAGACGACGACGUUGAUAGGCCGGGUGUGUAAGCGCAGCGAUGCGUUGAGCUAACCGGUACUAAUGAACCGUGAGGCUUAACCUU
This 2905-nucleotide ribosomal RNA is filed under the name Salmonella enterica subsp. enterica. RNAcentral's name for it is "23S ribosomal RNA". It matches the Rfam family "Bacterial large subunit ribosomal RNA". Lineage: Bacteria; Pseudomonadati; Pseudomonadota; Gammaproteobacteria; Enterobacterales; Enterobacteriaceae. The record is from RNAcentral.